RNAcentral lists this transfer RNA (74 nucleotides) under Myotis lucifugus (little brown bat). It matches the Rfam family "tRNA". From Rfam's summary of the family: Transfer RNA (tRNA) molecules are approximately 80 nucleotides in length. The record is from Rfam by way of RNAcentral. Lineage: Eukaryota; Metazoa; Chordata; Mammalia; Chiroptera; Vespertilionidae.
GCCAGUGUGGCUCAGUGGAUAGAGCAUCAGCCCGGGGGACUGAAGGGUCCCGGGUUCGAUUCCGGCCAAGGGUA